RNA transcript from Anarrhichthys ocellatus (wolf-eel), 1459 nucleotides. It is a transcript of the gene named anoctamin-9-like, with no coding region annotated. The record is from RefSeq and is a predicted model, not a curated record. The transcript is spliced from 4 exons. NCBI's taxonomy places the organism in Eukaryota, Metazoa, Chordata, Actinopteri, Perciformes, Anarhichadidae.
UAGAAAGUCUGCUCUUUUUCCUGUUAAAGCUCCUUUUUAAAGUACGAUUCCAGGACAAAGUCCUUGUAAUAUCCCUUCAACGUGUGAACUAAAUCUCUGUGUGUUACAGGAGGAACUGAUUUUGGAAAUAGUCAAUGAUCCAAACUGUAAACCCAAACAAUUCAGACACUCCUACCUGCGCAGCACCCUGGUCCUCAUUCUGGUAACUCUCAUGCUGAUACUGAUCAUUGGUCUCGCUCAAGCCCUGGUGGUGUUUCGAGUGGUGGCCGCCCCCUUGAUGUCUGAAGGCAGCUGGGAGUUUAUCGGGGAUCAUGCCAACACUGUGGCGAUCAUGCUUGGAGCCGUGCUGCACUAUCUCACCAUUCAGAUCAUGACCCGCCAGUUCCUUACGAAGUAAAACCAGAUACAAACAACUCCAGUGGUGGUGCAUUUGCAGCCAUUCUGCCCACAGUUUGUCAACAUGUCUGAAGUUCUUUUCACCAAGUGGGAGAUGUUGUUGGUGUCAGAAAUUCUUGAAAUCUCCAACUCCUCAAGAUACCCUCACUUCGUUGUACAGGGCCCAGUUCCUGCACACUCAGCGUUGUGUUCAUCCUGCGUUAUAUAAAGGAAGAGGUGUAACUAGUGUUAGCUGUCUCAUCAUGGGUCCAGGUGUGGUGAAAGAAAGUCACAGCAACGGGAUGUCCUAUGACCUCAUCAUCAAGUAUGUUACUCCAGUAUUUGAAUCACAAUACAUUGUCCCGUGGAAACACAGGCAGUCUUAAAUCACAGACUAACCCUAACCCUGCUGGAACUGAAGUGAAUGGGGCCAAAGUAAAACCUCCUCCUGUCAAAUAAAGCGCUGUCAUGAACAUGCUGCUAUUAAGAGAUCAGACUCAAAGCGUGUUUGACUUUUACCAUCCUGCCUUGUAUAUGAGCACAACAGAUUCUAGAUCAAAGUGUCUUGACAACUUACACAAGUCAACUCAGAAGGGAGCUGAGGAAGGACAAAAUAAACUAGAGAUGGCAAUUUGGGCCAGUGGCCCCUUCCUCACUUCCUACCACCUACUUUCGGCGCCCUUGCUCUGACCACAAGUGCAAUAAAUGUCACUUCUGUCCAUCCUGAUAGAGGGAUCCUCCUUUGUCUUUUAAACUGACAGAACAAUCAUCCCACCACUGAGGAAACAGGAAGACGGUUCUGCAUCUGAUAUUUGUGAACAAGCUUGUGAACACACAGCCUCCUGCUCUUAGUAAGGUCAACCUGCCGACAAUGUAAUAACUAUCAAAUGUCUCCUGUCUGUCUGUUCGUCUCUCUCACUCAACAUCACCUGUAGGUAAACAGAUGGGUGUCCCUCAAGCUGUGUCACAUAGAGAAGACCAACUCAUUUGCAGCCACAGAGAGGAACUUCACAGUCAAGAUGUUCACCUUCCAGUUCUUCACUCUCUUCUCCUCACUCUUCUAUGUGGCCUUCUUCCUGGGCAG